GUGGGGAAUAUUGCGCAAUGGGGGAAACCCUGACGCAGCAACGCCGCGUGAAUGAUGAAGGUCUUCGGAUCGUAAAGUUCUAUCAGCAGGGAUGAAUUUUGACAGUACCUGACUAAGAAGCCCCGGCUAACUACGUGCCAGCAGCCGCGGUAAUACGUAGGGGGCAAGCGUUAUCCGGAUUUACUGGGUGUAAAGGGUGCGUAGCCGGAAAGGUAAGUCAGAUGUGAAAGCCCGAAGCUCAACUUCGGGACUGCAUUUGAAACUACCUUUCUAGAGUGUAGGAGAGGAAAGUGGAAUUCCUAGUGUAGCGGUGAAAUGCGUAGAGAUUAGGAGGAACACCAGUGGCGAAGGCGACUUUCUGGACUAUAACUGACGGUGAGGCACGAAAGCGUGGGGAGCAAACAGGAUUAGAUACCCGUGUAGUCC
This 426-nucleotide ribosomal RNA is filed under the name uncultured bacterium. RNAcentral's name for it is "bacterial SSU rRNA". It matches the Rfam family "Bacterial small subunit ribosomal RNA", at positions 354 to 796 of the family's 1533-position model. The record is from RNAcentral.